UAGGGAAUAUUGGUCAAUGGGCGCAAGCCUGAACCAGCCAUGCCGCGUGCAGGAUGACGGCCCUAUGGGUUGUAAACUGCUUUUGUACGGGAAGAAACCCUCCGAUGCGUCGGGGGUUGACGGUACCGUAAGAAUAAGGAUCGGCUAACUUCGUGCCAGCAGCCGCGGUAAUACGAAGGAUCCUAGCGUUGUCCGGAUUUACUGGGUUUAAAGGGAGCGUAGGCGGACUUUUAAGUCAGUGGUGAAAGCUUGCAGCUUAACUGUAAAAUUGCCAUUGAAACUGAAAGUCUCGAGUGCGGUUGAGGUCACUGGAAUGUAUCAUGUAGCGGUGAAAUGCUUAGAUAUGAUACAGAACACCAAUUGCGAAGGCAGGUGACUAAACCGUAACUGACGCUGAGGCUCGAAAGCGUGGGGAUCAAACAG
This 423-nucleotide ribosomal RNA is filed under the name uncultured bacterium. RNAcentral's name for it is "bacterial SSU rRNA". It matches the Rfam family "Bacterial small subunit ribosomal RNA", at positions 355 to 775 of the family's 1533-position model. The record is from RNAcentral.